Molecule: ribosomal RNA, 697 nt
Filed under: Bacillus subtilis
Lineage: Bacteria; Bacillati; Bacillota; Bacilli; Caryophanales; Bacillaceae
Description: bacterial SSU rRNA
Rfam family: Bacterial small subunit ribosomal RNA
Source: RNAcentral
GGGCGUAAGGGCUCGCAGGCGGUUUUUUAAGUCUGAAUGUGAAAGCCCCCCGGCUUAACCGGGGAGGGUCAUUGGAAACUGGGGAACUUGAGUGCAGAAGAGGAGAGUGGAAUUCCACGUGUAGCGGUGAAAUGCGUAGAGAUGUGGAGGAACACCAGUGGCGAAGGCGACUCUCUGGUCUGUAACUGACGCUGAGGAGCGAAAGCGUGGGGAGCGAACAGGAUUAGAUACCCUGGUAGUCCACGCCGUAAACGAUGAGUGCUAAGUGUUAGGGGGUUUCCGCCCCUUAGUGCUGCAGCUAACGCAUUAAGCACUCCGCCUGGGGAGUACGGUCGCAAGACUGAAACUCAAAGGAAUUGACGGGGGCCCGCACAAGCGGUGGAGCAUGUGGUUUAAUUCGAAGCAACGCGAAGAACCUUACCAGGUCUUGACAUCCUCUGACAAUCCUAGAGAUAGGACGUCCCCUUCGGGGGCAGAGUGACAGGUGGUGCAUGGUUGUCGUCAGCUCGUGUCGUGAGAUGUUGGGUUAAGUCCCGCAACGAGCGCAACCCUUGAUCUUAGUUGCCAGCAUUCAGUUGGGCACUCUAAGGUGACUGCCGGUGACAAACCGGAGGAAGGUGGGGAUGACGUCAAAUCAUCAUGCCCCUUAUGACCUGGGCUACACACGUGCUACAAUGGACAGAACAAAGGGCAGCGA